UGAAGUAGAAAAAACCCCUGGGCCUUUGUGAGGUCAUCACCUAACAACCAGUCCCUGCUGAAGACCAACAAGUCCCCCAAUCACAAGAAGGCUGAGGACAGAGAUGCUCCACACUACUAACCAGAGCUGUAAGAAAGUCUCUCACACAGGAUACAUACUUGAAUCUCUCCCCUAAGGCCACUGCAUGGUCUUGUUUGGGGGUGAGGGGCAGCCACCCAUUUGUCAUUUCAGUCAAGCAAAAAAACAUUCAGGGUUCAAAUCAAGGACACAUGUGAUACCCAGUGGAAUCGUGCACCGGCUAUGGGAGAGGUGGGGGGGAGGAAAAGAAAAUGAUCUUUGUUUCCAAUGAAUAAUGUUUGGAAAUGACCAACUAAAUCAACGUUAAAAAAAAAAACAUUCAGUGCCUACUAUGGGCCAGGCACCAUGUUAAACACUGGGGAUACAAAAAGUUGUCAAGAGACAGUCCUUGCCCUCAAGGAGCUUACAAUCUAAUGGGGAAACCAACAUGCAAAGGGAAAGCACUAGGAUUAAGAGGAGCUGAGGAAUUCCCAAAGAUGGGAUUUUAGCUGGGACUUGGAGGUUAGUACUUGAAAGGGAGAAUGCUUCAAGAGUAAAGGAGAGCCACAUUGCUUCCCUACACACUUGAUUCACAUUAAAUGACAGUGCCUAAAAACAAGGCUCAGCCUAGAUGGAAGGGGGGUAGGGAAAAUGCACACACACCCAGGGACCCGCUGACACGGUCACAGAACUUUCUCCUGCAUUUAACACUACUACUACGCUUGAUUCAAAGCUGCAAAGUCUCGAAGACACAGCUAAUUUCACCUAGAUGGAAACGGAAUUCGUCCAGACAUCGUACCUGUCCUCUGGGCAGUAGAAGGACAGAAAGAACAGAUACAAGGUGGCAGGAGAGUGGCUGUCACAAAAGCACUAAUAAAGAGAAAACCCAAAAGGGAGGGAUGGAAGGAAGAGAGACCAUUGACCUAAAUGGCAGAAGUAUCCAUGGCCCCAAGCUAUAUGUCUACUAAGUAAGUAUCCUUUCAGAAUGGGGCCCAUGAGGUUUUGUAAAUGGAGUCUGGAGAUUCUGG
Molecule: long non-coding RNA, 1085 nt
Organism: Monodelphis domestica (gray short-tailed opossum)
Lineage: Eukaryota; Metazoa; Chordata; Mammalia; Didelphimorphia; Didelphidae
Source: RefSeq, a predicted model, not a curated record